GCAUCUGUAGCCUAGUUGGUAAAGGAAGCACUCUUGUAUGUGACUCAACAUUGCUGAAGUUGUGAGUUCAAAUCUCACCAGGCACA
Molecule: transfer RNA, 86 nt
Filed under: Puccinia graminis f. sp. tritici CRL 75-36-700-3
Lineage: Eukaryota; Fungi; Basidiomycota; Pucciniomycetes; Pucciniales; Pucciniaceae
Rfam family: tRNA
About the family: Transfer RNA (tRNA) molecules are approximately 80 nucleotides in length.
Source: Rfam by way of RNAcentral